GUAGGGAAUAUUGGGCAAUGGAUGCAAGUCUGACCCAGCCAUCCCGCGUGCCGGAAGAAGGCCCUCAGGGUUGUAAACGGCUUUUGACGGUGAAGAAUCGACAGGAUGCGUCCUGUUUUGACGGUAGCCGUUGAAUAAGCACCGGCUAACUCCGUGCCAGCAGCCGCGGUAAUACGGAGGGUGCGAGCGGUGUCCGGAUUUAUUGGGUUUAAAGGGUGCGUAGGCUGGAAGGUCAGUCAGCGGUGAAAAGCUGUCGCUUAACGAUAGUCUUGCCGCAGAUACUUCCUUUCUUGGAUGAGGAGGAGGCCACUGGAACGGAUGGUGUAGCGGUGAAAUGCAUAGAUAUCAUCCAGAACACCGAUUGCGAAGGCAGGUGGCUGUACCUUAAUCGACGCUGAUGCACGAAAGCAUGGGGAGCAAACAGGAUUAGAAACCCGGGUAGUCC
RNAcentral lists this ribosomal RNA (445 nucleotides) under uncultured bacterium. Its description in RNAcentral is "partial 16S ribosomal RNA". It matches the Rfam family "Bacterial small subunit ribosomal RNA", at positions 354 to 796 of the family's 1533-position model. The record is from RNAcentral.